GAUGAACGCUGGCGGUCUGCUUAACACAUGCAAGUCGAACGGAGGUAGAAAUACCUCAGUGGCGGACGGGUGAGUAACACGUGAGAAUCUAGCUUCAGGUCGGGGAUAACAGAGGGAAACCGCUGCUAAUACCGAAUGUGCCGAGAGGUGAAAGACAAGUUGCCUGAGGAUGAGCUCGCGGCGGAUUAGCUAGUUGGUGGGGUAAAAGCCUACCAAGGCGACGAUCCGUAGCUGGUCUGAGAGGACGAGCAGCCACACUGGGACUGAGACAAGGCCCAGACUCCUACGGGAGGCAGCAGUGGGGAAUUUUCCGCAAUGGGCGAAAGCCUGACGGAGCAAGACCGCGUGAGGGAGGAAGGCUCUUGGGUUGUAAACCUCUUUUCUUUGGGAAGAAGAAAGUGACGGUACCAAAGGAAUCAGCAUCGGCUAACUCCGUGCCAGCAGCCGCGGUAAUACGGAGGAUGCAAGCGUUAUCCGGAAUCAUUGGGCGUAAAGCGUCCGCAGGUGGUGGGGCAAGUCGGCUGUCAAAGGUCACAGCUUAACUGCGAACAGGCGGUGGAAACUGCCAAAC
Molecule: ribosomal RNA, 571 nt
Filed under: uncultured cyanobacterium
Lineage: Bacteria; Bacillati; Cyanobacteriota
Description: bacterial SSU rRNA
Rfam family: Bacterial small subunit ribosomal RNA
Source: RNAcentral